GGUCAAGCGAACAAGUGCAUGUGGUGGAUGCCUUGGCGAUCACAGGCGAUGAAGGACGCGGUAGCCUGCGAAAAGCGGAGGGGAGCUGGCAAACGAGCUUUGAUCCUCCGAUAUCCGAAUGGGGAAACCCACCUCUUUUGAGGUAUCCGUAACUGAAUACAUAGGUUACGUGAAGCGAACGCGGUGAACUGAAACAUCUAAGUAACCGCAGGAAAAGAAAUCAACCGAGAUUCCCAGAGUAGUGGCGAGCGAAAUGGGACCAGCCUGUACUCUUUAUCUUCAUUGUUAGUCGAAGGCUCUGGAAAGUGCCGCCAUAGCAGGUGAUAGCCCUGUAGACGAAAACAGCGAGGAAGAACUAGGUGUACGGAAAGUAGGGCGGGACACGUGAAAUCCUGUCUGAAGAUGGGGGGACCAUCCUCCAAGGCUAAAUACUCGUGAUCGACCGAUAGUGAACCAGUACCGUGAGGGAAAGGCGAAAAGAACCCCGGGAGGGGAGUGAAACAGAUCCUGAAACCGCAUGCAUACAAACAGUCGGAGCCUCUGCGAAGGGGUGACGGCGUACCUUUUGUAUAAUGGGUCAGCGACUUACAUUCAGUGGCAAGCUUAACCGAUUAGGGCAGGCGUAGCGAAAGCGAGUCCGAACAGGGCGAUUCAGUCGCUGGGUGUAGACCCGAAACCAGGUGAUCUAUCCAUGGCCAGGAUGAAGGUGCGGUAACACGUACUGGAGGUCCGAACCCACUAACGUUGAAAAGUUAGGGGAUGAGCUGUGGAUAGGGGUGAAAGGCUAAACAAACCUGGAAAUAGCUGGUUCUCUCCGAAAACUAUUUAGGUAGUGCCUCGUGUAUCACCUUCGGGGGUAGAGCACUGUCAUGGUUGUGGGGUCCAUUGCGGAUUACUACGCCAUAGCAAACUCCGAAUACCGAAGAGUGCAAUCACGGGAGACAGACAUCGGGUGCUAACGUCCGGUGUCAAGAGGGAAACAACCCAGACCGCCAGCUAAGGUCCCCAAAUAUUGCUAAGUGGGAAACGAAGUGGGAAGGCUAAAACAGUCAGGAGGUUGGCUUAGAAGCAGCCAUCCUUUAAAGAAAGCGUAAUAGCUCACUGAUCGAGUCGUCCUGCGCGGAAGAUGUAACGGGGCUAAGCAAUAUACCGAAGCUGCGGAUGCACAUUUAUGUGCAUGGUAGGAGAGCGUUCCGUAAGCCUGCGAAGGUGCAUUGAAAAGUGUGCUGGAGGUAUCGGAAGUGCGAAUGCUGACAUGAGUAGCGAUAAAGGGGGUGAAAGGCCCCCUCGCCGUAAGCCCAAGGUUUCCUACGCAACGUUCAUCGGCGUAGGGUGAGUCGGCCCCUAAGGCGAGGCAGAAAUGCGUAGCUGAUGGGAAGCAGGUUAAUAUUCCUGCACCAUUGUUAAAUGCGAUGGGGGGACGGAUCGCGGAAGGUUGUCCGGGUGUUGGAAGUCCCGGUCCUUGCAUUGGAGAAGGCGCUCAGGCAAAUCCGGGCGCGGAAUUCAAGGGUGCGAGGCCAGUCGCUUAGGCGACGAAGCAAUCGGAAGUGGUUCCAAGAAAAGCCUCUAAGCUUCAGUUUAACAGGACCGUACCGCAAACCGACACAGGUGGGCGAGAUGAGUAUUCUAAGGCGCUUGAGAGAACUCGGGAGAAGGAACUCGGCAAAUUGGUACCGUAACUUCGGGAUAAGGUACGCCCCUGUAGCUUGAUGCCCCUGCGGGCAGAGGGUGAAGGGGUUGCAAUAAACUGGUGGCUGCGACUGUUUAAUAAAAACACAGCACUCUGCAAACACGAAAGUGGACGUAUAGGGUGUGACGCCUGCCCGGUGCCGGAAGAUUAAAUGAUGGGGUGCAAGCUCUUGAUUGAAGUCCCGGUAAACGGCGGCCGUAACUAUAACGGUCCUAAGGUAGCGAAAUUCCUUGUCGGGUAAGUUCCGACCUGCACGAAUGGCGUAACGAUGGCCACACUGUCUCCUCCCGAGACUCAGCGAAGUUGAAGUGUUUGUGAUGAUGCAAUCUCCCCGCGGCUAGACGGAAAGACCCCAUGAACCUUUACUGUAGCUUUGCAUUGGACUUUGAACCGAUCUGUGUAGGAUAGGUGGGAGGCUAUGAAGCGUGGACGCCAGUCUGCGUGGAGCCGUCCUUGAAAUACCACCCUGGUUUGUUUGAGGUUCUAACCUUGGCCCGUGAUCCGGGUCGGGGACAGUGCAUGGUAGGCAGUUUGACUGGGGCGGUCUCCUCCCAAAGUGUAACGGAGGAGUACGAAGGUACGCUAGGUACGGUCGGAAAUCGUGCUGAUAGUGCAAUGGCAUAAGCGUGCUUAACUGCGAGACCGACAAGUCGAGCAGGUGCGAAAGCAGGUCAUAGUGAUCCGGUGGUUCUGUAUGGAAGGGCCAUCGCUCAACGGAUAAAAGGUACUCUGGGGAUAACAGGCUGAUACCGCCCAAGAGUUCAUAUCGACGGCGGUGUUUGGCACCUCGAUGUCGGCUCAUCUCAUCCUGGGGCUGUAGCCGGUCCCAAGGGUAUGGCUGUUCGCCAUUUAAAGAGGUACGUGAGCUGGGUUUAAAACGUCGUGAGACAGUUUGGUCCCUAUCUGCCGUGGGCGCUGGAUAUUUGAAGGGGGCUGCUCCUAGUACGAGAGGACCGGAGUGGACGAACCUCUGGUGUACCGGUUGUCACGCCAGUGGCAUCGCCGGGUAGCUAUGUUCGGAAGAGAUAACCGCUGAAAGCAUCUAAGCGGGAAACUCGCCUUAAGAUGAGAUAUCCCCGGGGCUUCGAGCCCCUUGAAGGGUCGUUCAAGACCAGGACGUUGAUAGGUCAGGUGUGGAAGCGCAGUAAUGCGUUAAGCUAACUGAUACUAAUUGCCCGUAAGGCUUGAUCCU
This 2882-nucleotide ribosomal RNA is filed under the name Paraburkholderia fungorum. Its description in RNAcentral is "23S ribosomal RNA". It matches the Rfam family "Bacterial large subunit ribosomal RNA". Lineage: Bacteria; Pseudomonadati; Pseudomonadota; Betaproteobacteria; Burkholderiales; Burkholderiaceae. The record is from RNAcentral.